This 236-nucleotide unclassified non-coding RNA is filed under the name Hevea brasiliensis (rubber tree). Lineage: Eukaryota; Viridiplantae; Streptophyta; Magnoliopsida; Malpighiales; Euphorbiaceae. The record is from RNAcentral.
GGAAGUAGGCCAGAGUGGGUCCAUGACUAGUUACCAGAGGCUUGAGCCCAGGCCAGAGAGGAAGUGUAACAGAACAGACUAUGCAGAAGCAAUGUCAUUGCAGGGAAUCAUUGUAUCAGCACUGAANNNNNNNNNCCCAGAAUACUGGACUAAGGAUCAGGCAAGGCGAAGACAGUGCUGUGAUCUUAUGGGAGGCAUAAAGAACAACAAUAUGCAGAUUAGGAUUAGAAAAUGCA